GGCCUAUUGAUUAUAAUUUUAGGUCUGACCUGCCCAAUGAGUAGUUUAAUGGCUGCGGUAUACUGACCGUACAAAGGUAGCAUAGUCAUUAGUUUUUUAAUUGGAAGCUUGUAUGAAAGGUUUGAUGAGAAAAGUUCUGUCUCUGUUGAAAUUUAUUAGAAUUUUAUUUUUAAGUGAAAAAGCUUAAAUAUAUAUAGAAGACGAGAAGACCCUAUAGAGUUUUAUACUUAUAUAAAUAGUAUAAUUUAAGGUGGAAAAAUUAUCUUUUUAGAGUAGUAUUUUGUUGGGGUGAUAGAAAAAUUAAUUAAACUUUUUUUAAAUUAAUACACUAAUUUGUGAAUUUAUGAUCCUAUAAUAGAUUAAAAGAUUAAAUUACCUUAGGGAUAACAGCGUAAUUUUUCCUAGAGUUCUUAUCGAAAGGGAAGGUUGCGACCUCGAUGUUGGAUUAAAAUGAAUUGCUGGCGCAGUAGCUAGAAAAUUAGGUCUGUUCGACCUUUAAAAUUUUACAUGAUCUGAGUUUAAACCGGUGUGAG
This 533-nucleotide ribosomal RNA is filed under the name Trigonopterus sp. 913 AR-2022a. Its description in RNAcentral is "partial large subunit ribosomal RNA". It matches the Rfam family "Archaeal large subunit ribosomal RNA", at positions 1952 to 2694 of the family's 2987-position model. The record is from RNAcentral. Lineage: Eukaryota; Metazoa; Arthropoda; Insecta; Coleoptera; Curculionidae.